GUUUGAUGGCCGGGCCCCUCUGGCGAACGUGGCGGCACGUUCGUGAUGUCGGCAUCGAUCU
This is a non-coding RNA of Paracoccus denitrificans PD1222, 61 nucleotides long. NCBI's taxonomy places the organism in Bacteria, Pseudomonadati, Pseudomonadota, Alphaproteobacteria, Rhodobacterales, Paracoccaceae. The record is from Rfam.